Molecule: transfer RNA, 85 nt
Filed under: Opitutia bacterium
Lineage: Bacteria; Pseudomonadati; Verrucomicrobiota; Opitutia
Also listed under: 1 other name
Description: tRNA-Leu
Rfam family: tRNA
About the family: Transfer RNA (tRNA) molecules are approximately 80 nucleotides in length. Their secondary structure includes four short double-helical elements and three loops (D, anti-codon, and T loops).
Source: RNAcentral
GCCCGGGUGGCGGAAUUGGUAGACGCGAUAGAUUUAGGAUCUAUUGUCUUAGGGCGUGAGAGUUCGAGUCUCUCCUCGGGCACCA